UGCCGCGUGAGUGAAGAAGGCCUUCGGGUUGUAAAGCUCUUUUGUCAGGGAAGAAACGGUGGUCGCUAAUAUCGGCUGCUAAUGACGGUACCUGAAGAAUAAGCACCGGCUAACUACGUGCCAGCAGCCGCGGUAAUACGUAGGGUGCAAGCGUUAAUCGGAAUUACUGGGCGUAAAGCGUGCGCAGGCGGUUAUAUAAGUCAGAUGUGAAAUCCCCGGGCUCAACCUGGGAACUGCAUUUGAGACUGUAUAGCUAGAGUGUGUCAGAGGGGGGUAGAAUUCCACGUGUAGCAGUGAAAUGCGUAGAGAUGUGGAGGAAUACCGAUGGCGAAGGCAGCCCCCUGGGAUAACACUGACGCUCAUGCACGAAAGCGUGGGGAGCAAACAGGAUUAGAUACCCUGGUAGUCCACGCCCUAAACGAUGUCUACUAGUUGUCGGGUCUUAAUUGACUUGGUAACGCAGCUAAC
RNAcentral lists this ribosomal RNA (468 nucleotides) under Undibacterium sp. RNAcentral's name for it is "bacterial SSU rRNA". It matches the Rfam family "Bacterial small subunit ribosomal RNA", at positions 395 to 856 of the family's 1533-position model. The record is from RNAcentral. Lineage: Bacteria; Pseudomonadati; Pseudomonadota; Betaproteobacteria; Burkholderiales; Oxalobacteraceae.